RNAcentral lists this ribosomal RNA (594 nucleotides) under Triticum aestivum (bread wheat). RNAcentral describes it as "partial small subunit ribosomal RNA". The record is from RNAcentral. Lineage: Eukaryota; Viridiplantae; Streptophyta; Magnoliopsida; Poales; Poaceae.
AUGGGGGACUCGAGAACCACGUUUUUGGAAGGAGUUCAAGGAAAAUUCAAGAACUUGCAGCUCUCUCAAGGAGAGAAAAAGGGAAUCAGGAUUGGAAAGAAGCAGGCAUGCUCCUCGCAGGUAAACAAGCUACAGGUUGUAGGUAAACUUCUCUCAGAGAGGCCGGUUAGAGCAGAGCAUGUGGGAAGAUCCUUGGGGGGAGUUUGGAGUCCAAUUUUUGGUGUGGAAUGCAUAGAAUUGGGCGGGAAUCAUUUUCUCUUUACUUUCCAUCAAAAAACUGACAAGGAUAAGGCACUAGAUGCUGGACCCUGGAGAUUCAACAAUGACAUGUUGGUAAUGGAGGAUUUUGUGCCGAGUAGAACUAUAGAUGAGUACGAAUUUAAGAGAAUACCUAUUUGGAUUAGAGCUUAUGGCAUUCCAAUGGGGAUGAUGAGCAAAGAAACGGGAUAUGCAGUGGGAGAACAAGUUGGAGAAGUUAUCGAUGUGGACCUGGAUGUCCAUGGUGAUUCAAUGGGAGUUUUCAUGCGGAUUAAAGUGAGAAUAGAUAUCACAGUCCCAAUUAUGAGAUUUUUAACAUUCUAUAUUGGGGAAUAA